UAAGUAGGGGGCGAGAGUUGUCCGGAAUCACUGGGCGUAAAGGGCGCGUAGGCGGCCUGAGAAGUCGCAGGUGAAAUCCCACGGCUCAACCGUGGAACUGCCUGCGAAACCAUUGGGCUUGAGGACAGGAGAGGGAAGCGGAAUUCCUGGUGUAGCGGUGAAAUGCGUAGAUAUCAGGAGGAACACCAGUGGCGAAGGCGGCUUUCUGGCCUGGUCCGGAAGCGGAGGCGAGAAAGCUAGGGGAGCACACAGGCUGCGAUAACACCGUAGUCC
RNAcentral lists this ribosomal RNA (273 nucleotides) under uncultured bacterium. Its description in RNAcentral is "partial 16S ribosomal RNA". It matches the Rfam family "Bacterial small subunit ribosomal RNA", at positions 524 to 796 of the family's 1533-position model. The record is from RNAcentral.